Molecule: ribosomal RNA, 301 nt
Filed under: uncultured bacterium
Lineage: Bacteria
Description: partial 16S ribosomal RNA
Rfam family: Bacterial small subunit ribosomal RNA
Source: RNAcentral
CAGCAGCCGCGGGAAUACGUAGGUGGCAAGCGUUGUCCGGAAUUAUUGGGCGUAAAGGGCUCGCAGGCGGUUUCUUAAGUCCGAUGUGAAAGCCCCCGGCUCAACCGGGGAGGGUCAUUGGAAACUGGGAAACUUGAGUGCAGAAGUGGAGAGUGGAAUUCCACGUGUAGCGGUGAAAUGCGUAGAGAUGUGGAGGAACACCAGUGGCGAAGGCGACUCUCUGGUCUGUAACUGACGCUGAGGAGCGAAAGCGUGGGGAGCGAACAGGAUUAGAGACCCCCGUAGUCCCUGUCUCUUAUAC